CAGCCCCCUGAGUGGUAAGGACGAUUAUUUGGCUUAAAGCGUCCGUAGCCGGCUUAGUGAGUCUUUUGUUAAAUCCAAUGAUUCAAUCAUUGAACUGCAAGAGAUACUGCUAUGCUAGAGGACGGGAGAGGUCGACGGUAGUCCAGGGGUAGGGGUGAAAUCCUAUAAUCCUUGGAGGACCACCAGUGGCGAAGGCGGUCGACUAGAACGUGCCUGACGGUGAGGGACGAAAGCUGGGGGAGCGAACCGGAUUAGAUACCCGAGUAGUCC
Molecule: ribosomal RNA, 270 nt
Filed under: uncultured archaeon
Lineage: Archaea
Description: partial 16S ribosomal RNA
Rfam family: Archaeal small subunit ribosomal RNA
Source: RNAcentral